GUUUCCCCCUGAGGGAAGUAUACCUGUCCUGCCAGCCUUGGUCUCUGGCAGGGAAGGUCCUUCCAACAGAGAGGGAAUUGCUUAGAAUUGACUCAACACUGCCUCCUUGCUGAAUGGAUAAUUCAAGCAAACAACUCAAGAGCUGGAUGCUGCCCAGACAGGUAGGCAGCCAGAUAAAGUGAGUGUCCAGGGAAAGAGCAGUAAGGGUCAGAAGAGAAAGAGCCUGGUGUUCUCACUGCCUCCUGCCUUCCUUAUGACUGUCUGUUCAGAAGUCCUCCUAGCAUCUUUCUUCUGCCUUCCCCUGCUCCUGUCCCUGAAACCUUUUCUUCAAAAGAAGUGGAAAAGAGGAACUGGGAACCCAUAUAGCAACAGCAUCACCUGGAAUGAAUUCCUUUAGAACAUACUGUCUUGGAAAUCUGAAGCCUGCAGGGCUGGACAGGCAAGAAGAGCAGUGAGCACUGCAUGAACCUGUAAGUAAAUCUGCAUGUGGAUGGUGUUUUGGGUUUUUUUCAGACAGAGCCUUACUCUGUUGCAUAGGCUGGAGUGCAGUGGCACGAUCUUGGCUCACUGCAACCUCUGCCUCCUGGGCUCAGGUGAUUGUCCCACCUCAACCUCUCAAGUAGCUGGGACCACAGGUGUGCACCAACAUGCGCAGCUAAUUUUUGUAGAGAUGGGGUUUCGCCGUGUUGGCCAAGCUGGUCUCGAACUCCUGGGCCAAGCAAUCGGCCUCCCAAAGUGUUGAGAUUACAGGCGUGAGCUACUGCACCAGGCCACACAUGCUUAUUUUACUCAGUCUUGCCCCUGAAUACCCGAAGGUCUAAACUUAGGAAAAAGUCAGGGGAGGGAUGAGUUUGUCAUUCUUUGGAGUCGUUAUAUUUGGGUGAGUGCUGGCACUAUGGGUAGGAUAUUAUUUAGAAGCUGAGUUGUGUGCUGAGCAAAUGUUUCUUUAAAAACCAAAGCCGUAUGAGAUCUGUUAUAGAGGCACAGUGUGGCUAAAUAGUGUGCGAUAAGAUAAGCAUAGGGCUCCUGAGGUGUUGCUGUUCUCCCACUGUAAUGAGUUUACUCUUCUUCCUAAGGAAAGUGAUCCUUUAUCACCUCUCCUCUCAAAUUCACUGGCUUGUUUCGUGAGUGUGCCUUCAUGGAAUCAUGUCUCCUUCUCUUCCCUCAGUUCUCUCCUUCCCUCCCUUACGUAUGACUCCUCCCAUAAUCCGCACACAUGGAUUGAACCAAGUGAGGGUAUUUUUCUGUUUCCUACCUCAUAGAAGGGCAUAGAGUGGACACGGUCUAAGGUUAGUUCCUGAACUGAGUACCCACAUAUGCAGAACUUUAUUUAAAGCUGCUGAAAUCUUUGUAUAACAGAUAGAUCAAUAGGACUGAAAACUACUGAUGGUUUUACUUACUUGUUGAACGUGACUAAGUUCCAUGGCACCAUUUAGAAAUUGUGUUGUAUAGUUUUCGUAUGUUGCUUAAGAAACAGUUUAGCAUAAUGGUUAAAAGCAUGGCCUCUGGAACUAGAUUGCCUCUGUAUGCCUCAGUUUCCUCAUCUGGGAAUAAUAAUAGUUCUACCUCAUGGGAUUGCUAUGAGGAUUAAAUGAUUUAAUUUAAUUAAAUGAUUUCAUACAAAACUGAAUUGUACUUGACACUUAGUACUCAGGUAUUAACUGGGACCGUUAUUAUCAUCACAGAUGUUGUUUACAAGCACUUGCCUUUGAGAUUUGUUUAGCUUUUUUAUUAAAUUACUAGCGGUAUACUAGAACAGUACGUAGGCUGGGGCCUGGAGUCAAAUUCUAGCUUUGCCUCUUAUAGUUUUGAAACUUUGAGUAAAUUACUUGAUGUGUCUGAGUUUUAAUAUUCUUAUAUGUAAUUUACUUUUAAAAAGAAUUUUGCUUAGUGUUGAUAUACACACAUUUAACACAGUUAUAGAAAUUAUUGUUUUUACUAUUGUCAUAUGAGGAAAUUCGUCCCUGGGUUGCUGUAGGGUGCUAAUGGUUAGGCAAACUCUCUUUGAAGUCUGCCUGAUCUGGCCCCUUGCAGGCAUGUACUCCGAAAUAUUUUUCAAAUGGAAAAGAAAACAGAGAACACAAUUUUCAAAAUAUCUAGAGCCCUCCAAGAAGUCUUUGUAGAGAUCUAUAAAAUCUCAAGGCAAUUUAAAGAAUAGAAAAAUGUUUUAGAAACACUAUUCUCUCCACAUCCUGGGGCAGCAGCCUUCUCCAAAGAAACAGAAAGAAGGAAAUGGAUUGCCUUAGCAAAAAAACAAAUGAAGACACUCCAAAUAACAGAAGAAUGGGAAGGCUACAGACCUUGAAGUCAGAAGAAAAUUUCCUCUCCUUGCCCCGUUUCUCCUUAAAUGGAUCACCAGUACAGUCUCUUACUUCUAGAGCCAUGUUAAGCUUUCUUCCCCAAAGUUGUAAUGUCCUUCUUUUGGUUGUGUCGUGUCCUAAAAUCCUACUCUUUGGUACAAGAUGAAGGUAUAUGAAGAGAUAAUGAAGGAAACAAAUUCAAUGUGUUUGCCAAGAACACAGUCUUUUAAAUAACUCUUAAAGGGUUCGUUUAAAACAGUGUAAUAAAUUGUGGUAAUCUAGUACACAAAGCUAGUAGGAACCUCGUUUAUUAAUAAUAUUUCAACAUUGAGCAGUAGAGGGCAGCACUAUCCUUCUUUUGCAAAAUGUUGAGCACUCUUGAGAAGGAAAAUAAAGGCAAAGCUCCUGACCCCUGUGUCUGUGUUUACUUUUACCAUUAAAAAAAAACAAAAAAUUGGAGUAUUUUUAUUAUGGUUUAGGUGAUUAUGUAUAAAGAAUGUCAGAGCCUGCAUUACCUGGAAGUGGUGCACCAGGUAAUGCAAAAAACACGGAAGGUUUGAGGUCCCCCACUCAGGAUAUGGGUUCUGUCUAGUAAAGAUAAACAGUAGCUUGACCCUGGGUAAUCAGAUAGGGUUAUUGUAUGAACAGACCUAAUGCUCCUGCACGUUCUGGAUAGAAGUCAAUCUACUGAAAUAGCAGGAUGUAGUUUUAAAAAAUGUGUGUAACUCAUAUAGUCUUAGCCCUGAUAAGUGCUUCUAAAUUCUUAUUCACUGCCUUUAUUCUGCUGUGUUAGUGUUGCUCUCUGUCAUACGUGGGUCAGGUCAGAACUAGCUCAAAUACAGUAUGUGUAUUAUGACUUUAAGGAGUGGUGUCAGACAAGAUGGGUAAAGAAUGUCUUUCAUGGGACUGCAGUUGGCUAAAUGGCUGUGUAUAAGUAGUGAAAUUGAAGCCUUGUAUGCUCGUCGUCAUUCUAUCACAGUAUGAUUUGAGUUUCCCUAACCGGUAAACAGCAAGAAAAAAUGAUCUGUUAUUUUUUACUAAAGUUACUUGAUGCUCUUUAGCAAGCUGACAGAAUAAUUCUAAUUUUAGCAAAUACAAAACCAUGGUAAUCCUAGCACAUUUGGAUUCUGUUUAACCCUGAAAACUCUUUUGGCAGCAAAUCUUCAAUGCCAAUUUAGAUAAAUCCCACUAGGAAUAAGCACUGAAAGACGUUGAGUCUAGUUCCCAGCUCUGCCAUGUGAAGUUGGGCAAAUUACAGUCUCUGAGCUUUUAUUUCAUCUGUUAAAUGGAGAUAAUACCUCCUAGAUUUAUUAAAAGGGUCAAUUUAGAAAAUAUGUAUUAAAAUGGUUUGAAAGCCAUUUAAGUACCUAAUGAAUAUUUCUAUCACUGUAGCCCAAAAAGAUUCCUGCCUAGAAGACUUUAUGUCUCUUCUCCUCAUUUGGUAUCAUUCUAUUGCCUGAGAUUGUUAAUUAACUUUUAUGUAUACUCAAUAUUUUCUCCCAACUUGGUUGCUAGUUCCUUGAGAACUGAAACCAUCAAUUGCACUUCUUGGUAUCCUCCACAAUAAGGUAUCUAGGUACUCAAAUAUUUGUUGGUUGAUUAAAAACAUAAACCACAAGACAUAAUUAACUCUUUUUAAAAUUGUGGUAAAAAAACAUGUAUUUACCAUCUUAAUCAUUUUUAAGUAUACUGUAUAUUAGUGUUUACUAUAUGCACAUUGUUGUGCAACACAUCUCUAGGACUUUUUCAUCCAGAAUUCUUUUUUUUUGAGACAGAGUCUUGCUGUGUCGCCCAAGCUGGAGUUCAGUGGCACCAUCCUGGCUCACUGCAACUGCUGCCUCCCAGGUUCAAGUGAUUCUCCUGCCUCAGCCUCCCGAGUAGCUGGGAUUACAUGUGCCUGCCACCACGCCUGGCAAGUUUUUGUAUUUUUAGUAGAAAUGGUGUUUUACCAUGUUGGCCAAGACUGGCCUAGAACUCCAGACCUCAAGUGAUCCACCCGCCUCAGCAGCCCAAAGUGGUGGGAUUACAGGCAUGAGCAACUGUGCCUGGCCUAGCCAUUUUCUAUAAACCUGAAAAUAGAUGCCAGAAAAGAAGGUGCCGCUAUAAAAUGCUUUCUUGAGUGAUUUAUGUCUAACAUACAAUUAAACAUUUAUGAGAAGGAAAUUAUCAGGUUAAAAUAUAAACUCACUUGCCAAUUAUUUGAUUUUCAGGAUAUCUGACUUUUGUUAAUUACUGAAAAUAAAGUAUUAUUUCUAAUCACUA
RNAcentral lists this long non-coding RNA (4562 nucleotides) under Homo sapiens (human). Its description in RNAcentral is "PREDICTED lncRNA (TCONS_00028504)". The record is from RNAcentral. Lineage: Eukaryota; Metazoa; Chordata; Mammalia; Primates; Hominidae.